GAUGAACGCUGGCGGCGUGCCUAAUACAUGCAAGUCGAGCGAACAGAUGAGGAGCUUGCUCCUCUGACGUUAGCGGCGGACGGGGGAGUAACACGUGGAUAACCUACCUAUAAGACUGGGAUAACUUCGGGAAACCGGAGCUAAUACCGGAUAAUAUAUUGAACCGCAUGGUUCAAUAGUGAAAGACGGUUUUGCUGUCACUUAUAGAUGGAUCCGCGCCGCAUUAGCUAGUUGGUAAGGUAACGGCUUACCAAGGCGACGAUGCGUAGCCGACCUGAGAGGGUGAUCGGCCACACUGGAACUGAGACACGGUCCAGACUCCUACGGGAGGCAGCAGUAGGGAAUCUUCCGCAAUGGGCGAAAGCUUGACGGAGCAACGCCGCGUGAGUGAUGAAGGUCUUCGGAUCGUAAAACUCUGUUAUUAGGGAAGAACAAAUGUGUAAGUAACUAUGCACGUCUUGACGGUACCUAAUCAGAAAGCCACGGCUAACUACGUG
Molecule: ribosomal RNA, 497 nt
Filed under: uncultured bacterium
Lineage: Bacteria
Description: partial 16S ribosomal RNA
Rfam family: Bacterial small subunit ribosomal RNA
Source: RNAcentral